Molecule: ribosomal RNA, 406 nt
Filed under: uncultured bacterium
Lineage: Bacteria
Description: partial 16S ribosomal RNA
Rfam family: Bacterial small subunit ribosomal RNA
Source: RNAcentral
AUUGAACGCUGGCGGCAGGCCUAACACAUGCAAGUCGAACGAGUGGCGGACGGGUGAGUAAUGUCUGGGAAACUGCCUGAUGGAGGGGGAUAACUACUGGAAACGGUAGCUAAUACCGCAUACCAUCAGAUGUGCCCAGAUGGGAUUAGCUAGUUGGUGGGGUAAAGGCUCACCAAGGCGACGAUCCCUAGCUGGUCUGAGAGGAUGACCGGCCCAACUGGAACUGUGACACGGUCCAGACUCCUACGUGAGGCAGCAGUGGGGAAUAUUUCACAAUGGGCGCAAGCCUGAUGCAGCCAUGCCGCGUGUAUGAAGAAGGCCUUCUGGUUGUAAAGUUCUGUAAGCGGGGAGGCGUUACCCGCAGAAGAAGCACCGGCUAACUCCGUGCCAGCAGCCGCGGUAAUUC